This 253-nucleotide ribosomal RNA is filed under the name uncultured bacterium. Its description in RNAcentral is "partial 16S ribosomal RNA". It matches the Rfam family "Bacterial small subunit ribosomal RNA", at positions 524 to 776 of the family's 1533-position model. The record is from RNAcentral.
UACGUAGGGGGCAAGCGUUGUCCGGAUUUACUGGGCGUAAAGAGCGUGUAGGCGGCCAAACAGGUCCGUUGUGAAAACUGGAGGCUUAACCUCCAGACGUCGACGGAAACCGUAUGGCUAGAGUCCGGAAGAGGAGAGUGGAAUUCCUGGUGUAGCGGUGAAAUGCGCAGAUAUCAGGAAGAACACCUAUGGCGAAGGCAGCACUCUGGGACGGUACUGACGCUGAGACGCGAAAGCGUGGGGAGCGAACAGG